GCAAUCUGCCCCUGACUCUGGGAUAACAGUUGGAAACAGCUGCUAAUACCGGAUACGAGACGUGACCGCAUGGUCGACGUUUGGAAAGAAUUUCGGUCAGGGAUGAGCUCGCGGCCUAUCAGCUUGUUGGUGAGGUAAUGGCUCACCAAGGCGUCGACGGGUAGCCGGCCUGAGAGGGUGACCGGCCACACUGGGACUGAGACACGGCCCAGACUCCUACGGGAGGCAGCAGUGGGGAAUAUUGCACAAUGGGCGAAAGCCUGAUGCAGCAACGCCGCGUGAGGGACGACGGCCUUCGGGUUGUAAACCUCUUUUAGCAGGGAAGAAGCGAAAGUGACGGUACCUGCAGAAAAGCGCCGGCUAACUACGUG
This 371-nucleotide ribosomal RNA is filed under the name uncultured bacterium. RNAcentral's name for it is "bacterial SSU rRNA". It matches the Rfam family "Bacterial small subunit ribosomal RNA", at positions 121 to 507 of the family's 1533-position model. The record is from RNAcentral.